UACGUAGGGGGCAAGCGUUGUCCGGAUUUACUGGGCGUAAAGCGCGUGUAGGCGGCCUGGCAGGUCUGCUGUGAAAACUGGAGGCUCAACUUCCAGACGUCGACAGAAACCGCUUGGCUAGAGUCCGGAAGAGGAGAGUGGAAUUCCUGGUGUAGCGGUGAAAUGCGCAGAUAUCAGGAAGAACACCGAUGGCGAAGGCAGCUCUCUGGGACGGUACUGACGCUGAGACGCGAAAGCGUGGGGAGCGAACAGG
Molecule: ribosomal RNA, 253 nt
Filed under: uncultured bacterium
Lineage: Bacteria
Description: partial 16S ribosomal RNA
Rfam family: Bacterial small subunit ribosomal RNA
Source: RNAcentral